AGAGACUAGGACUUGGCAGGGCUGUGAAGUGAGCAGAGGAAGGGCGAGUAUGAACAAGCAGGGAAUGCUGGACUCCUACUAGGCUGUCUAUCUAGCUAAGAUGAUUAUGAUUCAAGGAGGAAGUACAAAAUGGUAUUAAGGCUCUCUUCCUCCACCCUUAAAAAUGUGGGUGAAGAUAAGCUACAUUUUCCCAGAAUCUGCUCAAAACAAGACAAAAGCAAUGUACUGAGCCAGGUGAGGAAGAAAGGCAGUGCACCCCACAGACAAGACUGCCCUGGUUGUACGGUGCUACAACAUGAUCUCAGUUGCUGUUAAAUAAGUUUCGCAAGAAACUGAAGAAUGGAAAGACAAGAGAUGAGGAACAAGUUUCAGAGAACAGAAGGAAUUUGUCUUGGGCUGCACAGUCACUAAGGAGAGAGCAGGCACCCAAACUGUGCCAUUCCCUGUCCUCUUGGGAGCUAUACUCUUCUGUAUCCCUGCUUCUGUUCAACGUAUCUGGCUCAAGAGACAUUUACAAAGGAAGGAAACACUCGUUGUAUGAAAAACAAACAUGAUAUAAACCUGUUUCGUUAGCUUUCAAGACUACCCUACCCAGGGGUGGCUACCCUAAAGAGAAUAGCAAAGUUGAUAAGAGAAAGAAUGAUAAAACUAUCAGAUUUCUCCCUAUCACAUUUUUCAAAAUAUUUCACCACAUCUGAAGAGGUAUUUUUCAUUCAUUUUCUGUAAGAUAGUAGAAAUGAAAGUGGUCUAAAACGCUAAAUAAAAGGGAUAUUGUUUGUAUUUAUUACUUCUUGAAUGCAGUGUAUAUUUAGAACUCAGAACAAUGGUUGUAUUUAGCCUAUACACUCCUUUUAAGAAAUUCACCCCAUGUAUGUGGGCAGCCUUAGAUCCUAGAUUCAUCACAGCUUCUAUUUGUGAACCAUUAGUUUGUAUCCCUCUUUUGACAACCACCUUGGAAAAUAAUUUCUCUCUCAUGCAAACCUGUCCCACCUUAUUGAAGGCCCACUGUAGCCUUUACAACUUAAAACAGUUCUCUGUACUGAAGUAGUCAUGUUACUAACUGCACGAAUGACACUAGCAAGUUAAAACAACGUGAAUUCUUAAUGUAUGUCGGAUUUAAAAUUCUUUUGAUCCCCGAUUUGUUGUGCUCAGCAUUGUAGUCUGUGCAAAGCAAAGUUAUUAGCUGAGAAAAUUAAGAUGUUUGAGUAUUCUAUAUUUCUAUUCUUUGAUGUGUAUAAAAAUUAGAAUUGGAAUUACAAUUAACUCUGAAGUUACUAUCAGAGCAAAGUAAACAAAAUGUCAUUGAUAUGUAAACAAAUUCAAUGCCCUAAUCAAAAAAUGUAAAUAGAAUGGGAUUUGAAUUCACAUCAUAUUAAUUCUAAAGAGAAAGUAUGAUAGAAAGAACAUGAGCAUGGAAAUAGCAAAACAACACAGGUCAGGUAUGAGUUUUUGAAAAAUCCUGAUUUGAAAAUCCACUUGUUUCCUUAAUAAAG
Molecule: long non-coding RNA, 1493 nt
Filed under: Homo sapiens (human)
Lineage: Eukaryota; Metazoa; Chordata; Mammalia; Primates; Hominidae
Description: HSALNT0075538
Source: RNAcentral